RNAcentral lists this ribosomal RNA (763 nucleotides) under uncultured Streptococcus sp. RNAcentral describes it as "bacterial SSU rRNA". It matches the Rfam family "Bacterial small subunit ribosomal RNA", at positions 28 to 776 of the family's 1533-position model. Lineage: Bacteria; Bacillati; Bacillota; Bacilli; Lactobacillales; Streptococcaceae. The record is from RNAcentral.
GACGAACGCUGGCGGCGUGCCUAAUACAUGCAAGUAGAACGCUGAAGGAGGAGCUUGCUCUUCUGGAUGAGUUGCGAACGGGUGAGUAACGCGUAGGUAACCUGCCUGGUAGCGGGGGAUAACUAUUGGAAACGAUAGCUAAUACCGCAUAAGAGUAGAUGUUGCAUGACAUUUGCUUAAAAGGUGCAAUUGCAUCACUACCAGAUGGACCUGCGUUGUAUUAGCUAGUUGGUGAGGUAACGGCUCACCAAGGCGACGAUACAUAGCCGACCUGAGAGGGUGAUCGGCCACACUGGGACUGAGACACGGCCCAGACUCCUACGGGAGGCAGCAGUAGGGAAUCUUCGGCAAUGGACGGAAGUCUGACCGAGCAACGCCGCGUGAGUGAAGAAGGUUUUCGGAUCGUAAAGCUCUGUUGUAAGAGAAGAACGAGUGUGAGAGUGGAAAGUUCACACUGUGACGGUAUCUUACCAGAAAGGGACGGCUAACUACGUGCCAGCAGCCGCGGUAAUACGUAGGUCCCGAGCGUUGUCCGGAUUUAUUGGGCGUAAAGCGAGCGCAGGCGGUUAGAUAGGUCUGAAGUUAAAGGCUGUGGCUUAACCAUAGUACGCUUUGGAAACUGUUUAACUUGAGUGCAAGAGGGGAGAGUGGAAUUCCAUGUGUAGCGGUGAAAUGCGUAGAUAUAUGGAGGAACACCGGUGGCGAAAGCGGCUCUCUGGCUUGUAACUGACGCUGAGGCUCGAAAGCGUGGGGAGCAAACAGG